GUACCUUUGGCAUAGUGGUUUGAGCAUUGGACUAUGACUCUGGAGACUAGGGUUCAAUUCCCUGCACAGCCA
Molecule: transfer RNA, 72 nt
Filed under: Phrynosoma platyrhinos (Desert horned lizard)
Lineage: Eukaryota; Metazoa; Chordata; Lepidosauria; Squamata; Phrynosomatidae
Description: tRNA-OTHER
Source: RNAcentral